Hyaena hyaena (striped hyena) is the source of this 74-nucleotide non-coding RNA. The record is from the annotation of a RefSeq genome assembly. Lineage: Eukaryota; Metazoa; Chordata; Mammalia; Carnivora; Hyaenidae.
GCCUGGGUGGCUCAGUCGGUUAAGCGCCUGACUUCCGAUCUGGCGGUUUGUGGGUUCAAGCCCCGCCUCGGGCU